This 747-nucleotide long non-coding RNA is filed under the name Helianthus annuus (common sunflower). Its description in RNAcentral is "sRNA HanXRQr2_Chr06g0260871". Lineage: Eukaryota; Viridiplantae; Streptophyta; Magnoliopsida; Asterales; Asteraceae. The record is from RNAcentral.
GACUAGGAUCCGACCAAAGCAAAUCACAAAGCAAACCCGAAUCCGGAACAUCAGUCGGGCGCGACAAGUUCCGUAUCUGAUCUAAGUUAGUUAGAUCAGGAGAAAGACCACCAUGCAUGCAUAGUAUCUUGUCAUCGAUAAGAGCAGCCACAGGAAGACAGUUGAAACAGUCAGUAAAAACUUUCCAAAGUCGAACAUUGAAACGGCGUUUGCAUUCAUCAUAAAAUCCGUAUAUCCUGUUGAUGGAAGCACAUUCAUGGUUUCCUCUUAGAAGGAAGAAAUUUUCGGGGUAUUUGAUUUUGUAGGCAAGUAAAAGGCAUAUGGUUUCCAGACUUUGCUUGCCACGGUCCACGUAAUCACCUAGGAAUAAAUAGUUUGAUUCGGGAGGAAAUCCGCCGUAUUCGAAUAACCUUAAGAGGUCCCCGUAUUGUCCGUGAAUGUCACCUAUCUUAAUCGGAGCUUCGAGCUCUAACAAAUUAGGCUGUUGAAGAAAAAUCUCACGAGAAGUGGUACAAAGCAAGCGGAUCUCCGCCUCGGAGAGCUGAACCUGGCGUGUGGUCCUGGCUUGCCUGAACUCCAACAAGCGGUUGAUAAUAUCAUCGAGUAAGUUAGGGUUCAUCGUCUGUCCAUUUUGAGCCAUUGAUCUCUUCCAGAAACCCUAGAUCUCGAUGAUGAAUGUGGCGGAAAGCCCUAAUUGAGAAUGGCUUUUUGUGUUUGGUUUGGUGGAAUAAACAAUGGAAAAGUUGU